RNAcentral lists this ribosomal RNA (522 nucleotides) under Platypleura sp. 04 MHV-2009. Its description in RNAcentral is "partial 16S ribosomal RNA". It matches the Rfam family "Bacterial large subunit ribosomal RNA", at positions 1819 to 2609 of the family's 2925-position model. The record is from RNAcentral. Lineage: Eukaryota; Metazoa; Arthropoda; Insecta; Hemiptera; Cicadidae.
GUCCUUUAGAAAAAAAAUUAAAGGUCUAAUCUGCCCAAUGAUAAUUGAAUGGCCGCGGUAACUUGACCGUGCAAAGGUAGCAUAAUUAUUAGUCUUUUAAUUGAAGGCUUGAAUGAAUGAUUGGAUGAAAAAUAAACUUUAUUAACAAAAAUUAUUUAAUUUAUUAUUUAAGUAAAAAUUCUUAAAUAUUCAAGUGGGACGAGAAGACCCUAUAGAGUUUUAUUUUUAUUUUUAUCAUAAUAUUUUAGAAUUAAUAUUUUUAUAAUAAAAGUAAAUUUUUUAUUGGGGUGAUAUUAAAAAUUAUUAAACUUUUAAUUAAUAUUUCAUUAAUAUAUGUAUUAUUGAUCCAGAAUAAAAUUUUGAUUAUAAGAAUAAAUUACCUUAGGGAUAACAGCGUUAUUAAUUUGAAGAGUUCAAAUCGAUAAAUUAGUUUGCGACCUCGAUGUUGGAUUAAGAAUAAAUUUUGAAGUAGUAUUUAAAAUUAUAGGUCUGUUCGACCUUUAAAUUCUUACGUGAUCUGAG